This 74-nucleotide transfer RNA is filed under the name Candidatus Moraniibacteriota bacterium. RNAcentral's name for it is "tRNA-Ala". It matches the Rfam family "tRNA". From Rfam's summary of the family: Transfer RNA (tRNA) molecules are approximately 80 nucleotides in length. Their secondary structure includes four short double-helical elements and three loops (D, anti-codon, and T loops). The record is from RNAcentral. Lineage: Bacteria; Candidatus Moraniibacteriota.
GGGGACAUAGCUCAGUUGGCUAGAGCGCUUCCAUGGCAUGGAAGAGGUCAGGGGUUCAAAUCCCCUUGUCUCCA